CCUCUUCCCAUUCCGAACAGAGAAGUUAAGCCCGCCAUCGCCGAUGGUACUGCGCACUGUGGUAGAGUAGGCAGCUGCCUUUU
This 83-nucleotide ribosomal RNA is filed under the name Candidatus Physcocola equi. Lineage: Bacteria; Pseudomonadati; Bacteroidota; Bacteroidia; Bacteroidales; Paludibacteraceae. The record is from RNAcentral.